UUACCUGCGCUGGACCAUGUAUAAGUCUCCUGGAAUGGAGCGUCACAGAGGGUGAGAAUCCCGUCUUUGACAUGGACUGCCAGUGUGUUGUGGUGUGCUCUCAAAGAGUCGAGUUGUUUGGGAAUGCAGCUCUAAAUGGGUGGUAAACUCCAUCUAAAGCUAAAUAUUGGCGAGAGACCGAUAGCGAACAAGUACCGUGAGGGAAAGAUGAAAAGGACUUUGGAAAGAGAGUUAAACAGUAUGUGAAAUUGUUGAAAGGGAAACGCUUGAAGUCAGUUAUGUUGGCUAGGGAUCAGCCUAGUUUGCUGGGUGAAUUUCCUAGUCUGACAGGCCAACAUCAGUUCUGACUGCUGGAAAAGAGCAGAGGGAAUGUGGCACCUCUGGGUGUGUUAUAGCCUUUUGUCAUAUGUGGCAGUUGGGACUGAGGGAUGCAGCAUGCCGUGAGGCUUGGUUUCGACCAUGUUCAUGCUUAGGAUGUUGGCAUUUAAUGGCUUCAAUCGACCCGUCUUGAAACACGGACCAAGGAGUCUAACAUGCCUGCGAGUGUUUGGGUGGAG
This 557-nucleotide ribosomal RNA is filed under the name Amanita sp. G1357. RNAcentral describes it as "eukaryotic LSU rRNA". It matches the Rfam family "Eukaryotic large subunit ribosomal RNA", at positions 161 to 703 of the family's 3401-position model. Lineage: Eukaryota; Fungi; Basidiomycota; Agaricomycetes; Agaricales; Amanitaceae. The record is from RNAcentral.